This 256-nucleotide ribosomal RNA is filed under the name uncultured bacterium. RNAcentral's name for it is "partial 16S ribosomal RNA". It matches the Rfam family "Bacterial small subunit ribosomal RNA", at positions 524 to 776 of the family's 1533-position model. The record is from RNAcentral.
UACAGAGGAGCCAAGCGUUGUCCGGAUUGACUGGGCGUAAAGAGCUCGUAGGCGGUCUGUCGCGUCGAUCGUGAAAACUUGGGGCUUAACCCUGAGCUUGCGGUCGAUACGGGCAUGACUGGAGUUCGGCAGGGGGAGACUGGAAUUCCUGGUGUAGCGGUGAAAUGCGCAGAUAUCAGGAGGAACACCAAUGGCGAAGGCAGAUCUCUGGGCCGUAACUGACGCUGAGGAGCGAAAGCAUGGGGGAGCGAACAGG